Molecule: long non-coding RNA, 4161 nt
Organism: Corvus hawaiiensis (hawaiian crow)
Lineage: Eukaryota; Metazoa; Chordata; Aves; Passeriformes; Corvidae
Exons: 5
Source: RefSeq, a predicted model, not a curated record
GCAACCCAAGUUUAGUAUAUCACUUCCAGUCAUGAGCUAAUGGAAGGAAAGGCAGCAGCCCUCCUCUGGCUCAGCUGUGGCUCCAUGCAGCCACUGAAAAUGCAUGAAGGCGCCAGUUGCACAGCACCCCUCUCCCUUCACAGCCCCCUCUGAUGGAGUAUUGCUGUUUCUAGAAACGUAAGGAAUAUUCUUCAAAGCAGGAGGACAGAAAGUCAUACCUGCACAUUUCAGUUCUGAAUCCAGCCAAAAACUCCUCUCUGAUGCCUCUGGCAAUUCCUGAAACUGCAGCAUCUCACAGCUAAAUCUGGACACCCUCAGUAAAGCACAGCAGUGGUGCUUCAGCACAAGCCACCUCACCUGUGUGUGCCACAGGCACCUACAGGCAGCAAAGCCUCUUUGAAACAGGCACGUCUCAAUGCCUUUCCGGUUAACUCUUGCACCGAAAGCCCACAUAACUCAAGCAAAAUCUUUCCAUUUACCUCAACAAACUGUAUCUUUUUCUCCUCUUCAGAAGUUGUGAGGAGCUGGGUACCAUAACAGCGUUUUCUCUCAAGGAAAGCUUCAGAUGAAGCAACGGUGUGGACUGGAUGCUUGAAGAAAGCAAAUGUGCUCUCACAUUGUGCUCUCCUGGUGACCACGAGGGACUGCAGCACCAAAGGGGAGACAUUUCUGAGCAGCGGGAUCAGUGAGCUAACAUCAACAGAGGUGUCCUCUCAGAGCUGCUGUCAAUAACCCAGAGUGGGCCAACUUACAGCCCAGUAACAGUACCUACAGUUCUAGGUGCCUCUGACCUUGAGGCAAGCACAGCCUGGAUGUUCCAGCUCAAGUCCUGUUGCAGAAGUCAAGCUUGUCUGGUUUCAGUCUCAACUGGAAAAUGGCUUAAAACUCAUGUGAUACCUGCACAUUUCUGGAAGGAAAAGUUAAAAUUUCCCCAAAUUAAAAUGCUGUGAGCAGAGAACUUCCAUAGGGUGAGGUCUGGCUGAUAGGAAGGAAAUUUAAGAAGAGACAGAAUGUAAAGGAUGCAUUAUGGUUACAUAAACAGCACAGAGAGAAAGGAGGCAGGGUGAAUCAGUGCCUGUCCAACACUGGAAACUCAAAGCCUCUCAUUUCAAGUGUUUGAAACCCUCUUCUCAUCUCUCCUACCGCACUUCCAAAAUUUCAUAUCCACAGGCUGCACAGAUGGGGAGUCCCACCUCAUCAGCUCUUAGGCAGAGUUUGACAUUGAAGACUUCUAACUCUCAGGGCUUGUUCUGGUUUAAAUAUAUUUCCAUCAUCUGCAUAUUUCUUUCUCCCCAAAGAUAGGUAUUACACACCUUAGAAAAUGGAUGAGGUUUCUUUUAAUCUCUGUACAUCACCUCAACAUUUCAUAAUGCAUCAAGAGAACCAACAGAGAAUGGACCAAAGAACAGGCCUAAAGUCUUCCUCACAAUUUUCACUCACCAAUUUUUGCUUUAUUGCCAUCAUCUGGAUGACUGAGAGCCUUCCACAGAUACCAGAGGCAGCCACAUUGCCUAGGUGCACUUGUCAAAUUUAUCUGAAACCUCAGUACAUUGUUUUUGCCAUUGCUCCACUGUGAUUAUCUGACCUGUCCAACAUGAACCAGAACUUCUGUUUCACAGCUUCAUCAGAGCUACAGCCUUGAGGAUUCAGCCAUGACCACAGAUUUCAAGCAGCAGCAACUGCCCAACACUCUGAAGCUGCUCAAAUAUUCACUUAUACCCAGAGCCCAAACCAUACAGCUCAGCCACUGAGCCACUGGGCUACGGCUGCCCAACAUGCUCCAGUGAUGUCUAAAAAGUCUCUUAUCACAGAUCUCUUCUUCUAGUAAUCAUUUACUCUUUUUUUCCAAAACAAGGUAAAGAGAUUGAGAGUCUCUGUCUCUUUACAUUGAAUGAUUUUCAAAUCUUCCCUGUAACCAAACACUCCUUUCCCAAACACUCUCCAAUGUGCCAACAUCCACACAUCAAACUUGGGCACACAUCUCUACCACUCAAAUAAGAGCACUUGGAAACUAAUCAGCACAGUUCUGUGGAGCAGUUUUCCAUUUUACAGCUCUCAUUGUUUUGCCUGCACACACUUGGUUUGUCUGUCCUUCAUUUGAAGUGGGCUUGCUUUGGUGGGAAGGAAAAUAAUGUAAAUGCCUGCUUUCACAUGUAGUUUAAUUUGUGCUUGCAGUAGAUACUACACAAUUCCAUUACCUCUGCUUCCAAAAUGAGGUGUACUUAAGAUUUUAAUACUUGGGGACAAGGGAAGACAUCAACAUUACAGAAAAAAUAAAACCAUUGCCUAACUUGAGAGAAGAAAUUAAUGCCCUGUGAUCCAUUACAACCCAGCCCACUGAUGGCAUAGCUCUGCACUGGCAAAAGUCUCCACGAGCUCCAUUCUAAGGGGUAGAGGAUGCUGCGUAUGUUGAAGAAGAAUCUUGGCUGUGAUUACUUUGAAAAUACCAGGUUACAAAAUGGAAAAUCUCUUUCCAACAGGCAGCAUAAUUCCAGUUGGCCAUUACAUCACAAAACUUCCAGGGAUUACUGGCAAUUUUAGAAGGCAACUGUGAAGCUAUAAAACAUCUGGCUGUAUUUCACACGGUGAUCAUUCACUUCCUGGGUCCCACUUCAGAGUUCUGCAUGAGCAGCCCUGGUUGCUGAUGGAUACUGCUGAGUCUCCAGAGCCCACAUGAUACUGUCCCAAAUCAGAAAUGCCACAGCAAUCAAAACACCAGAGAUAUCUGUGCCAGUAAUGUCAUAAUUCACAUUUUUGUUUCUCACAAAGCACAUUUUCUAUAUCUCUUUCAUGAGAAUGCCCUCUGCACUGUCACUGCCAGAAGCAGCCAGGCUUGCUGUGACUGAGCACAGCAGAGCCCAGGCUCACUGGCUGCACUGGCAUGAGUUUGAAAUGCUAUAAUUGUAUUAAAUGCUUAACUCCACUCACUAGGAUGGUUAAAAGGCUGCAAAAAAAGCAAAGCUUGCAGAAAGAGAGAAAGCACAAGAGGAGGUUAAAACCAAGCCAUAAUUUUAAACACCGAAGCAAUUGGUGACAGCCAGAGACUUCAGGUGUCCAUGUGGUCAGCGCUAAAGCCUCUAUUCUUCCCUGUCUCAGACACAGGCAUUUUCAUACUCUCCCAGUAAUGCAGUAAACGAGCAUUACACUCAUUACAUGAGUGCAGCAGUGAAAAACAAUGAAAGCAGCUUGGCAUUUUUAUAAGACAGUUCAAAUAAAAAUUAAUGGUACAUGUAAUAAUAAUUCCAAGUGUAUUUUGUUUCCAUUUAUAUCCAACUAAGAGACAAUUUUUGGUGCAUUUGGUUUUAUAGCUCUGUGUAUAUGCAGCAAAGUAAAAAUUCUGCACAUGGGAAAAUAAAUAAGUGGCUAUAUGACUGGUUGACAGCAAGAUUUGUAGAGCUAAUUAGUUCAAUGAAUAGGAAAGGCACUCAAAACUAACAGCUCAUCAAAUAGUUCUUCAUACAAGAGAUAUCUGUCACCCUGCCUGUGCUGAAUAAAUAUUUUUAAUGUCAUCCAGAGAUCAAUGCCAACACAAGCAAAUAAAAACAAAACAAAACACCAAGGCCCAAAGAACCCGACACCCAGGCUGACCUCACCAGCGGCAGCUCAGUGUGAUCACAGUAUCAUCAAGGUUGGAAGAGACCUUCAAGGUAAUUGAAUCCAACCAUCAAACCAGCAACGAGCAUGAUCACCCCUAAACCACAUCCCCAAGUGCCACAUCCAGAUAUCUCUGGAGCACUCCCAGAUGGUGAUGCACCACUUCCCUGGGCAACUUAUUCCAGUGUCUGACCACUCUUACAGUAAUUAUUGUUUUUUCUAAUCUGAACCUCCCCUGGCACAACUUAAGGCCAUUUCCUCUAGUCCUUUCACUUGAGACAUGGUUGUGUCCCACCUGGCUACACCAUCCUUUCAGGUAGUUGUAGGGAGUGAGAAGGCAUCCCCCCGAGCAUCCACUUCUCCAGACUAAACAACCCCAGCUCCCUCAGCCACUCCUCACAGGACAUGUUUUCUGGGCUUCCCCAGCUCUGCUGCCUUCCUCUGGACACCAGAGCUCCUCCAGCACCUCAACAUCCUUUCUGAAGUGAGGUACCUAAAACCGAACUGUCCUGGGUUGCAGUGUAUUCUAUUCCCAUCCUCAUGAGCUGUUGAAAUCAGGUGGGGCAG